Pseudophryne corroboree (corroboree frog) is the source of this 881-nucleotide long non-coding RNA. RefSeq lists it as uncharacterized. Lineage: Eukaryota; Metazoa; Chordata; Amphibia; Anura; Myobatrachidae. The record is from RefSeq and is a predicted model, not a curated record. The transcript is spliced from 4 exons.
AGGAGAGCACUGAAACGACCUUAACUGUCGCUCGAGGAAGGAAGAACAGCAUGCGCACAGGGACACUGCAGGGGGCCGUGGCUCGAGGAGAGAAAUGGACGAACGGGGACCGCGCGCCAGACGGUUGAAGAUUGGAUUGCGCAGCAAGAGGAGACGGACCGGAACAGGGAGGAGAGAGGACGGGUGUGCCGAGGUGACGGGGAAAGUGACAAGACGGACGGAGCGGAGAGCCCCGAGAAUAUAUAGAGAGAGGUCGCUGAGUAAAUACUGUAAAGGAUGACAGGCCGGGACAUUGGGACUGGGUAUGUGAAUAUUCUUUGUUGGAGAGUCCUGAAAGAAAAGGAGAAACAGAAAAAGACACGUCUGAAUCAUUAAUUCAUCAGUUGUUAGUUAAAAAACCCCAUCUUGCAGCAGAGAAGGUGCAUGUAGUCAGUGGAAACCAAAAUACAAACAGAAGUCAGAGAUGAAGAACAGUGUACUGAGGUGAGCUGCCUCGAAGAAACAAUGACUGAAAGUGUAAUUCAGCUUUACAUUCCAAAGACCCAACUCAUCUACCCAUGAACUUGUGCUGAAAGUCUGGUUGCCACCUUUUAUGGAGCAAACGCUACUAGCCUUCCGACAGUAUAUCAGUUAUACUUCUGCCUGAUUUAUAGCACUGACAUCAGUUACCACUGUUACCAGCAAGUCGCCAACUUUACCAGUGUUGCUGAUUACUACUGUUACCAGCAAGUCGCCAACCAUACCGUCGGAGCUCACUGUGAUAGAGACGGGACGGAUCUAGCACCGCAGAAGAGGAGGAUCCAGCUGGGCACCUGGAGUCAGACGCAGAGCAAAGGGCAGAAAAAGUGUGCCGCGUACCGUUAGAUGCUGGUCAGUUGUGG